RNAcentral lists this unclassified non-coding RNA (342 nucleotides) under soil metagenome. Its description in RNAcentral is "partial contains 5.8S ribosomal RNA, internal transcribed spacer 2, and large subunit ribosomal RNA". The stretch from base 1 to 120 matches the Rfam family "5.8S ribosomal RNA", at positions 35 to 154 of the family's 154-position model. The record is from RNAcentral.
GAUGAAGAACGUAGCGAAAUGCGAUAAGUAAUGUGAAUUGCAGAAUUCAGUGAAUCAUCGAAUCUUUGAACGCACAUUGCGCCCGCCAGCACUCUGGCGGGCAUGUCUGUUCGAGCGUCAUUUCAACCAUCAAGCCCCCAGGGGCUUGUGCUGGGGCCCUGCGGCUGCCCGCAGGCCCUGAAAACCAGUGGCGGGCUCGCUAGUCACACCGAGCGCAGUAGCACAUCUCGCUCAGGGCGUGCGGCGGGCUCCUGCCGUGAAACCCCCCACUGUAACCCCAAAGGUUGACCUCGGAUCAGGUAGGAAUACCCGCUGAACUUAAGCAUAUCAAUAAGCGGAGGA